CCGGGGCUUAGUGCCGGAGCUAACGCAAUAAGCACUCCGCCUGGGGAGUACGACCGCAAGGUUGAAACUCAAAGGAAUUGACGGGGGCCCGCACAAGCGGUGAAGCAUGUGGUUUAAUUCGAAGCAACGCGAAGAACCUUACCAGGUCUUGACAUCCCGAUGCUAUUCUUAGAGAUAGGAAGUUACUUCGGUACAUCGGAGACAGGUGGUGCAUGGUUGUCGUCAGCUCGUGUCGUGAGAUGUUGGGUUAAGUCCCGCAACGAGCGCAACCCUUAUUGUUAGUUGCCAUCAUUAAGUUGGGCACUCUAGCGAGACUGCCGGUAAUAAACCGGAGGAAGGUGGGGAUGACGUCAAAUCAUCAUGCCCCUUAUGACCUGGGCUACACACGUGCUACAAUGGUCGGUACAACGAGUUGCGAGCCGGUGACGGCAAGCUAAUCUCUGAAAGCCGAUCUCAGUUCGGAUUGGAGGCUGCAACUCGCCUCCAUGAAGUCGGAAUCGCUAGUAAUCGCGGAUCAGCACGCCGCGGUGAAUACGUUCCCGGGCCUUGUACACACCGCCCGUCACACCACGAGAGUUUGUAACACCCGAAGUCGGUGAGGUAACCUAUUAGGGGCCA
This 618-nucleotide ribosomal RNA is filed under the name uncultured bacterium. RNAcentral describes it as "bacterial SSU rRNA". It matches the Rfam family "Bacterial small subunit ribosomal RNA", at positions 833 to 1451 of the family's 1533-position model. The record is from RNAcentral.